GAACGGUCCCCUCGCAGCGAUAGAUAGCGAACCCCGCCAGGCCCGGAAGGGAGCAACGGUAGUUAUCGACUCGGGUGCCGAGGUGUGGCUGUUCGAG
This 97-nucleotide signal recognition particle RNA is filed under the name gamma proteobacterium HIMB55. RNAcentral's name for it is "Bacterial small signal recognition particle RNA". It matches the Rfam family "Bacterial small signal recognition particle RNA". Rfam says of the family: The signal recognition particle (SRP) is a universally conserved ribonucleoprotein involved in the co-translational targeting of proteins to membranes. Archaeal SRP consists of a 7S RNA and homologues of the eukaryotic SRP19 and SRP54 proteins. Lineage: Bacteria; Pseudomonadati; Pseudomonadota; Gammaproteobacteria; Cellvibrionales; Halieaceae. The record is from Rfam by way of RNAcentral.